GUUGUUUCUUAGAUAUGAGUGUUAAUUUGAAUUAAGGUCAAUGUUUUUUCCUAAAGAUACAAAAUGUAUACAUGUAGUAGUUUUGCAUAACAUAUUUGUAGUAUAAAAUAAAUAUUUAGAUGAUUGUUUUGUUAUGACAGAGAUUGGGUUAUUUGCUGUUAACACCAUUAUCAACAGUUUUGAUAAAUUCAUUCGAAGAAUUUCUAAUGUUGAAUAAUAAUAAGCACAUUUUAAUAUAUCUUAUAAAGCACUUUGAAGUAUGAAAAAAACUCAAUGUUUUAUUGAUGCUAAUUUUCGUGAUUCUCACAGGGUCAUAUCAUUUUCGAAGAAUAAAGUUUUGCAUUGUAAGUAUGUGACUUGAAGUAAAUUAUUUAUGUGAUAUGAAGUUUUAUUGUUUAAAGGGAAGUAAUAGAUCAUGAGUUAAUUAUCAAAAUUAUAUGUGAAAUCAUUGUGUAUCAAUUUAUACUAGAUAUAAUGCUACACAGGAAACUUUAUUGGCAGGUUUCCAGGUCUCUGUAUGUGCAUACAUAUUGUUAAAAAUAUAAAAAAAAAAAAACAACUACAUGUACACUUGAUUACAUUAUUAUUUUGUUUCAUUGCUUUUUCAUGUCCAACACUACCUUGUCAAAAGAUAUACACUUAAUUGCUGCAUUUGGUUUUUAUCUUACUAAGUUUACAUUUACAAAUUGCAGUAUCUAACAUGCUUAAGUGUUGUCAAUUUGGUGGUAUUUAUUGUUAUUUUUCAUUUUCAAACUUAGGAUGAGUGUUAUCAAGUAAUGACUUCACCCAAAACAUAAACAAAUAUAUGUUCAUAAUAAAUUCACUGGGGUUCCCUCCCUUUUUUUAGCUCACCUGACCUGAAAGGUCAAGUGAGCUUUUCUCAUCACUUGGCGUCCGUCGUCCGUCCUCCUCCGUCCGUCGUCUUGCGUCCGUUGUCCGUAAACUUUUACAAAAAUCUUCUCCUCUGAAACUACUGGGCCAAAUUUAACCAAACUUGGCCACAAUCAUCCUUGGGGUAUCUAGUUUAAAAAAUGUGUCCGAUGACCUGGCCAUCAAACUAAGAUGGCCGCCAUGGCUAAAAAAAGAACGCAGGGGUAAAAUGUAUAUUUUAGCUUAUAUCUUUAAAACCAAAGCAUUUAGAAAAAAUCUGACAUUGGGUAAAAUUGUUGAUCAGGUCAAGAUCUAUCUGCCCUAAAAUUUUCAGACGAAUCGGACAACCUGUUGUUGGGUUGCUGCCCCUGAAUUGGUAAUUUUAAGGAAAUGUUGCAGUUUUUGGUUAUUAUCUUGAAUACUAUUAUAGAUAGAAAUAAACUGUAAACAGCAAUAAUGUUUAGUAAAGUAAGAUCUACAAAUAAGUCAACUUGACCAAAAUUGUCAGAGAACCCCUUAAGGAGUUAUUGUCGUUUAUAGUCAAUAUUGAACAACUUUUUUUCAUUUUUGUAACUUGUACAAAAAUCUUCUUUUCUAAAACUAUGGGCCAAAUUUAACCAAACUUGGCCACAAUCAUUACUAGGGUAUCUAUUUUAAAAAAAGUGUCUAAUGACCCGCCUACCAACCAAGAUGGCCGACAUCAGUAAAUACAGUAACAGGUGAGCGACACAGGCUCUUGAGAGCCUCUAGUUUAAAAUUUUUAGAUAUAUAAAAAUAAUUGUCUGUCAGUGAAAAAAAAGUCUAGUGUUUAGAUCCUAGGAUCUUAAUAUGAAAGAAAAAUUAAAAUUUUGAUAAAUUGGUUCUGACAUUUUAUACUCCCCUAGAUUUUUAGACACCCAAUAAUACUUUUUUAAUCUCAACAUUUAGUACAAUGAUUUAACAUGUAAAUAAACUCAUGGCAGUAUUAUGAAUAUAUUUAAUGUGAUAUACAUGUGGUAGUUAGGUAUAUUAGAGUAUUAAUUUAUAUCAUUAUGUACUUAAUGUGAAUGUAAAUUCCCAUUAUGUAAAUUAAAAAAAAACUUCAAAAGAAGACAUGGUUGAAACUAGCCUUGUUUUAAUUUGGUGGAGCCAUAAUAGUGUCACAUAUAAUAGAGCACCUGAGAUCCCC
RNAcentral lists this long non-coding RNA (2038 nucleotides) under Mytilus galloprovincialis (Mediterranean mussel). Lineage: Eukaryota; Metazoa; Mollusca; Bivalvia; Mytilida; Mytilidae. The record is from RNAcentral.